GCACUCUUGUUUCUCUUCAAAUCAUAUAAAUCUUUCGCCUUUUACUAAAGAUUUCCGUGGGGAGGAACAACAAGAGUUUGAUUCAAUUUUUUGAUGCCCUGCAGUAGUAGGGCU
The sequence is a small nuclear RNA, 114 nucleotides long. Its record names the gene U5. It matches the Rfam family "U5 spliceosomal RNA". From Rfam's summary of the family: U5 RNA is a component of both types of known spliceosome. The precise function of this molecule is unknown, though it is known that the 5' loop is required for splice site selection and p220 binding, and that both the 3' stem-loop and the Sm site are important for Sm protein binding and cap methylation. The record is from Ensembl.